Molecule: ribosomal RNA, 703 nt
Filed under: uncultured Paracoccaceae bacterium
Lineage: Bacteria; Pseudomonadati; Pseudomonadota; Alphaproteobacteria; Rhodobacterales; Paracoccaceae
Description: bacterial SSU rRNA
Rfam family: Bacterial small subunit ribosomal RNA
Source: RNAcentral
GAGUUUGAUCCUGGCUCACAACGAACGCUGGCGGCAGGCCUAACACAUGCAAGUCGAGCGCUCUCUUCGGAGGGAGCGGCGGACGGGUGAGUAACGCGUGGGAACGUGCCCUUGGGUAAGGGACAACCAUUGGAAACGAUGGCUAAUACCUUAUGAUGUCUACGGACCAAAGAUUUAUCGCCCAAGGAUCGGCCCGCGUUGGAUUAGCUAGAUGGUGGGGUAAUGGCUCACCAUGGCGACGAUCCAUAGCUGGUUUGAGAGGAUGAUCAGCCACACUGGGACUGAGACACGGCCCAGACUCCUACGGGAGGCAGCAGUGGGGAAUCUUGGACAAUGGGGGCAACCCUGAUCCAGCCAUGCCGCGUGAGUGAUGAAGGCCUUAGGGUUGUAAAACUCUUUCAGCAGGGAAGAUAAUGACGGUACCUGCAGAAGAAGCCCCGGCUAACUCCGUGCCAGCAGCCGCGGUAAUACGGAGGGGGCUAGCGUUGUUCGGAAUUACUGGGCGUAAAGCGCGCGUAGGCGGACUGACCAGUUGGGGGUGAAAUCCCGGGGCCCAACCCCGGAACUGCCCCCAAAACUGUCAGUCUAGAGUUCGGGAGAGGUAAGUGGAAUUCCUAGUGUGGAGGUGAAAUUCGUAGAUAUUAGGAAGAACACCAGUGGCGAAAGCGGCUUACUGGACCGACACUGACGCUGAGGUGCGAAA